UUCGUCCGAAUGGUUGCGACAGUGCCCUU
Molecule: non-coding RNA, 29 nt
Filed under: Homo sapiens (human)
Lineage: Eukaryota; Metazoa; Chordata; Mammalia; Primates; Hominidae
Source: RNAcentral